ACGACGCUGUAGACGCUGGCGGCAGGCUUACACAUGCAAGUCGAGCGCUCACUUCGGUGGGAGCGGCGGACGGGUUAGUAACGCGUGGGAAUGUACCCUUUACUAAGGAAUAGCCACUGGAAACGGUGAGUAAUACCUUAUACGCCCUUCGGGGGAAAGAUUUAUCGGUAAAGGAUCAGCCCGCGUUAGAUUAGAUAGUUGGUGGGGUAAUGGCCUACCAAGUCUACGAUCUAUAGCUGGUUUUAGAGGAUGAUCAGCAACACUGGGACUGAGACACGGCCCAGACUCCUACGGGAGGCAGCAGUGGGGAAUCUUAGACAAUGGGCGCAAGCCUGAUCUAGCCAUGCCGCGUGAGUGAUGAAGGUCUUAGGAUCGUAAAGCUCUUUCGCCAGGGAUGAUAAUGACAGUACCUGGUAAAGAAACCCCGGCUAACUCCGUGCCAGCAGCCGCGGUAAUACGGAGGGGGUUAGCGUUGUUCGGAAUUACUGGGCGUAAAGCGUACGUAGGCGGAUUAGAAAGUAUGGGGUGAAAUCCCAGGGCUCAACCCUGGAACUGCCUCAUAAACUACUAGUCUAGAGUUCGAGAGAGGUGAGUGGAAU
This 599-nucleotide ribosomal RNA is filed under the name bacterium AC43. RNAcentral's name for it is "bacterial SSU rRNA". It matches the Rfam family "Bacterial small subunit ribosomal RNA", at positions 19 to 667 of the family's 1533-position model. The record is from RNAcentral.